This 460-nucleotide ribosomal RNA is filed under the name uncultured bacterium. Its description in RNAcentral is "partial 16S ribosomal RNA". It matches the Rfam family "Bacterial small subunit ribosomal RNA", at positions 338 to 795 of the family's 1533-position model. The record is from RNAcentral.
CCUACGGGGGGCAGCAGUGAGGAAUAUUGGUCAAUGGACGAGAGUCUGAACGAGCCAAGUAGCGUGAAGGAUGACUGCCCUAUGGGUUGUAAACUUCUUUUAUAUGGGAAUAACGCGCCUUACGUGUAGGGCUUUGCAUGUACCGUAUGAAUAAGGACCGGCUAAUUCCGUGCCAGCAGCCGCGGUAAUACGGAAGGUCCGGGCGUUAUCCGGAUUUAUUGGGUUUAAAGGGAGCGUAGGCCGCAUGUCAAGCGUGCUGUGAAAUGUCCGGGCUCAACCCGGGCCUUGCAGCGCGAACUGGCGUGCUUGAGUCCGCGGAAAGCAGGCGGAAUUCGUCGUGUAGCAGUGAAAUGCUUAGAUAUGACGAAGAACCCCGAUUGCGAAGGCAGCUUGCUGCAGCGGAACUGACGCUGAUGCUCGAAAGCGCGGGUAUCGAACAGGAUUAGAUACCCGGGUAGUC